RNAcentral lists this small nuclear RNA (319 nucleotides) under Castor canadensis (American beaver). Its description in RNAcentral is "7SK RNA (ENSCCNG00000021207.1)". It matches the Rfam family "7SK RNA". From Rfam's summary of the family: 7SK was discovered as an abundant small nuclear RNA in the mid-70s but a possible function has only recently been suggested. Two independent studies have found that 7SK RNA binds the CDK9/cyclin T complex (known as elongation factor P-TEFb). The record is from Rfam by way of RNAcentral. Lineage: Eukaryota; Metazoa; Chordata; Mammalia; Rodentia; Castoridae.
GGAUGUGAGGGCGAUCUGGAUGCGACAUCUGUCACCUCAUUGAUCGCCAAUUAAUUCGGCUGAUCUGGCUGGCUAGGCGGGUGUCACCUUCCUCCCUCACCGCUCCCACGUGCAUCCCUCCCAAAGCUGCACACUCGGUGGAAGAGGACGACCAUCCCAGAUAGAGGAGGACCGUUCUUUGGUCAAGGGUAUAUGAGUAGCUGCACUCCGCUGCUAGAACCUCCAAACAAGCUCUCAAGAAUGAAUGGUGUGAAGUAGGCAAGUUUGUUGAUAGAAAUACACUAGACUGAUCAAUUCAGAAAACAAUUUUAGUUUUAGU